RNAcentral lists this non-coding RNA (28 nucleotides) under Mus musculus (house mouse). The record is from RNAcentral. Lineage: Eukaryota; Metazoa; Chordata; Mammalia; Rodentia; Muridae.
UCCAGAGGUCCUAAGUUCAAUUCCCAGC